UCACAUGGCCCACCUUGCGCCGUGGGGGCUCGGGGACACCCUUUGACUCGCGCGUGCGUUAGACUCCUUGGUCCGUUUUGGUUGAUAUAAACAAGUACAGUGAAGAUUGAAC
Long non-coding RNA from Sinocyclocheilus grahami, 112 nucleotides. RefSeq lists it as uncharacterized. The transcript is spliced from 3 exons. The record is from RefSeq and is a predicted model, not a curated record. Lineage: Eukaryota; Metazoa; Chordata; Actinopteri; Cypriniformes; Cyprinidae.